GGUUGGAGGCUUGGAGGUCAAUUAUUCUUUCAUCUCUAACCUAGAGGGGUCAGUCAUGUUUCUGCCACAUGAAUUGAUUAUUGAAAUCUUGUUGAGGUUGCCGGUAAAGUCUCUUACACGUUUCAAGUGUGUUUGUAAGUUGUGGUUUUCUCUUAUCUCUCAUAAUUCACAUUUGCCAAUCGUAGAAUUCUAUUCAUAUCAAAAUCAACUCACCAAGCUCGUUCCAUAGAAGCAUCGCUUCACGAUGACAGUGCUUCUGUUUCACUCAACCUUAAUUUUAUGUUUCCAGAGGAUUUUACAAGUUAUGCAAUUAAAGGGUCGUGUAGAGGCUUCAUACUUAUCUGCUGUUGGAUCUUUAACAUCUACAUAUGGAAUCCAUCCACUGGAGUUCACAAACAAAUACCUUUAUCUCCUUUUGGUUUCAAUUUAGAUGCUAAAUAUUUAUAUGGUUUUGCGUAUGACGAUUCGACCGAUGAUUAUUUGGUUGUUUCGUUGUCUCAGCAUGAUAAUUUAGAUGAUCCAACAUUACACUUGGAGUAUUUCUCAUUGAAAGCUAAUACAUGGAAACAAGUUGAGGGUCCUCAUUUCCCUUGUACCUUCCAGUAUGAGCCCAAAGAGUCCAAAGGCGGGUCUCUCUAUAAGGGAGUUAUUCAUUGGUUGGGUUUUAAUAAUGAUUAUGCAUGUGAAGUGAUCGUUGCCUUUAAUUUAAUGGAAAGGAAACUUUCAUAUAUGCAUUUGCCAUGUUUUAAUCCCUCCCACUGUGAUUUGUGGGUAUAUGGAGAAUUUCUCAGUGUAUAUAUUAUGAAUUAUUCUAAUGAUACUCUUGAAAUAUGGGUGAUGAAAGAAUACAAAGUGGAUUCCUCUUGGAUUAUGACUCUUGUUCUUCCUAUUGAUCUCAUCCCAACCGAGGACUUUUCCCUAUUGUGCUAUACAAAGAGUGGUGAUAUUAUUGGGAUUGGGACUGAAGAUGGCGUUGGAUUGGUGAAGUGUUAUGAAAAAUGGACAGUUUAUAGAGCAACAUUAUUAUUCUAAUCAUGAUCUUAGAUUGCAAGUGAUUAUGUAUAUAGAUUCUCUACUUUCACUCCCGAGUGAUGGUGACAACAAGCAAGAUUAAGAAGAAUAAGGGGUUUGAAAUUUAAACAAGAAACUUGGUUGAAUUGGGAUAGAAUAGAAGUCAUAAGGAAGAGGUGGAAAUUAAAAUUGAUUAGGGUGGUCAUGAAAGUUGUGUAGAACUUAAUGAGGAAAAUGUGAAGCAAGUGGUGAAACGAGGGAUGAGGUUCAUGAUAGUAGAAAUAAGAGAAUGGAGUAGAUUGUACUGAUGAGGUUCAUGAUAAUGUUAGAAAAGCUUAAGAAGAUAAUCGACACAAACAAGAGGAAUGAGGUUCUGAAAUCAUAUGGUAUGAAUGCAUUUGUAAGGUGCUGAUAGAGUAAUAUGAGUUUGAAUGGAUUUGUAGGUUACUGAGUUUGAGGACAUUUUUUAUGAGUCAGAAUGCCACACUAGCUAACGUAAUAUGUUAUGAAAUGUUUAUUGGUUAACUAUAUGCAAUCGGCUUAUUGUUAACAUAUCGUUAUGAAAUGGUUAUAGGUUAACUAUUUGCAAUAAGCUUAUUUACAGUGAUAGCUUUGUUUCUUAUUUAGAUGCCAUUGUCAAAACAAACAUUUUUUAUACCGUUCAUGAUUGGUUGAAUUUUGCAUAGGAGCAGUGGCGGAGCCAGCGCCCGGCUAGGUAGGGCAGCUGCCCAGGCUCCGCCGGCCAUGCUUCACCAUCAUAUGCCGGAGAUCUGCCAUUCUCGCCGUCCCCUAAACGAGAAAGUUGUCGGCGGUUUCAAAAAGAAAGAGGAGUAAUGUUGAAUUCGCCGUUAAUAAACUGACCACCUGCUCCAUAUUGAUACAAGGAGGGAGAUGAAACUACACACUUAGAAACAAAGAACUUAGUUGUUCUUUCAAUUUCACGACUCCACUCUUUCUUCUUUUUCUUCUGUUUCAAUUCAAUUUUCACUAUAACAUUGUUGUGGUGUUGUUAUUUGUUGUUGUUGCAGGCUGUGGUCGACGAAUUGAUGAAGAAUUGGGGUACAAUUUGUCGUUUUGCGCUAUGCCCACCAAGUGUUCGGGACUUGUCAUGAUGGUUUAAACGACUAUGUUAUUUUUGCAUUUCAUUUUAAUGGAAAGAGAAGUUUUGAGAUGUAUUUUCCAAAUGUUUUUGACCAAGAAUCAACUAAUUGUGAUUUGUGGGUAUUUGGUGAAUUCCUUAAUCUAUGGGGCUAUGGAGCACCGUUCUUUUGUUAAUAUAUGAGUUAUGAAAGAAUACGGACUGCAUUCGUCCUGGACUAAGACUCUUUGUUUUGUCUAUUGUUGUCGUUCCGACUCGGUACUUUUAUCCAAUAUGUUGUACAAGAAAUAGUGAAAUUAUUGGAACAGAUGGUGGUACUGAAUUGGUUAAAUACGAUGACAAAGGACAAUUGUUAGAGCAUCGUUCAUAUUCUAAUGACCGAGAAGGAUCUCAUGUUGUGUAUAUAGUCUCUGCUUUCACUACCUUCUAACAAUGAACAAGCUGUUAGAACAAGCUUAAGAAGAUGACACAAUCAAGAAGAAUGAGGUAUACUAUAUUCAUCUUAUUUAUCUUGUACUAUAGUAUGAACUAUAGGAAUGCUCCAAUCAGUAAGGUAUUGGAGGGUAAUAUGAUGAGCUAGUAUGCUACCUGAGCUCAUGUAAUAUGUCAUGGAAUAUUUAUUUGUCAAUUGUUUGUAAUAUGUUUGUUUAAAAUGUUGAAACCUUUAAUUGCCUGUGUUGUUUGUGUGGUUAACUGUUUUUGUUAUUUAUGCAUGUGUGUAACAUAUUAAGUUCUAAUGUAUGUUGAGGUCCAUGUUUAAAAUGGUUUUGUAUUGUAUUUAUAAUUUAUUUGAUGAGUUUAUGCAUUACAUGACUCUGACUCAAAGCACUUUAUUAGAAAUUUUAUCAUGGCCACAUUUGUAUUUGAAGGAAAUCUAAGGUUAUGUUCUCUAAUUUCAGUGGACUCUAGUAACUUUGGCUCUUGUCAUUUAUCUAUUACAAGCUAGAAAUAAAAACUCCAAUUAAUGAGUUACAUCGAUAAGAAGGAAAAUUACUACUGGAAGCAUUUUAUUUUUAAAACUAGAAUCAAAGCAUACAUGAUAGCUUUGCAUACAUACUUUAAAGAAACUGUGAUUUGCGCAGUGAAAACAAGGCAAAACAAUAGUUUGAUAAUAGAUUGAAUGAAGAAACAUGUCUGUGAAGUGUUAGCUAUGUGAUAAUAGUUUGAUCAUGAGUGCCAGUUUAAUUGAUAAUAAUGCCAAGUGUCACAAUGAUUUGAUAUCAAUUAGACACUGCAGAGGCAAGAGUUAUGAUUCAUGAGCAUGCAGAAAUAGAAGCAUGGAAAAUGAUCAUAGCUAUUGCAGUGUUGUAUCAAAGACUCUUCUCGUUAUCAACACUAGAGAGGAUGUAAACAUGGGUAAAUUAAGAAACCAGAUUGAAGAAAACACUGUUUGGAAUCUUGACUAGUGAAGACAAUUGCUAAUUAGAAUUGGAACAAUGUUUGAAAGAAGAAUUUAAUAAGGUUUCCUUUUUUCGGAAGGAUGCUAUUCUAUGUUCAAAACAUCUGUCAAAUUAUUAUAUUGUUAAAUCAUCUUAUAAGAUGUUAACCUCCACUAAUGAUGCUUGGGAAUGUUAAGUUGUAGCAUAAAUUCAUACUG
Molecule: long non-coding RNA, 3707 nt
Organism: Vicia villosa (hairy vetch)
Lineage: Eukaryota; Viridiplantae; Streptophyta; Magnoliopsida; Fabales; Fabaceae
Exons: 3
Source: RefSeq, a predicted model, not a curated record